Molecule: ribosomal RNA, 254 nt
Filed under: uncultured bacterium
Lineage: Bacteria
Description: partial 16S ribosomal RNA
Rfam family: Bacterial small subunit ribosomal RNA
Source: RNAcentral
UACGAGCUGUGCAAACGUUAUUCGGAAUUACUGGGCGUAAAGGGCUCGUAGGCGGCCAACUAAGUCAGACGUGAAAUCCCUCGGCUUAACCGGGGAACUGCGUCUGAUACUGGAUGGCUUGAGGUUGGGAGAGGGAUGCGGAAUUCCAGGUGUAGCGGUGAAAUGCGUAGAUAUCUGGAGGAACACCGGUGGCGAAGGCGGCAUCCUGGACCAACACUGACGCUGAGUGAGCGAAAGCCAGGGGAGCAAACGGG